Molecule: long non-coding RNA, 4611 nt
Organism: Chlorocebus sabaeus (green monkey)
Lineage: Eukaryota; Metazoa; Chordata; Mammalia; Primates; Cercopithecidae
Source: RefSeq, a predicted model, not a curated record
UUGUUGUUGUUGUUGUUGUUGUUGGGUUUUUUUGUUUUGUUUUGUUUUGUUUUUUUGAGGCUUUAGAAGAUAAUCCACUUAUUUGCCUCUUUCAGCUUCUGGAGGACCCUUCAUCGCUUGGCUUAUGGCCCUCUUCAUCCAUCUUCAAAGCCAGGAACAUUGCAUUUACCUGAACAUUCUUCUAUAGUCUCAUCUCCCUCUGGCCAUAGCCGAGAAAUGUUCUUCACUUUGAAGAAACCAUAUGGGUUGAAUUGUGGCCCCUCAAAAGCAAUUUAUACAGAUGAAGUCCCAACUCUGGCCACCAAUAUUAGCUGGAUAAUUCUUUGAAUCUGGCUAAUGUGGAAUCUUGCAAGGACAAAGAGGAUUUGCUCAUGAACUGAUUCCAGGCACUUGCACAUCACUGUGCCCCUGCUUCUAUUCAGCACUGCAUUUCAUUUUGCCUCAUGAUAUGGGUUGUAUGCACUGGUGAGCCAUCUGAUCCUUAAUGUCAUCUACUAGGUAAGUUGCACCUUUGAUAUCCCUCCACCUGUCCCCUUCAGCUCUAAUGGUUCUCUUUGAUACUUCCAUGCUUCAUUUGAGGACUUGGAAAUCAUUCUGCUCCUUCCUGGUCAUAAACAGGCACAGAAAUUUAUUUCCUUCUUCUUUCCCCAAGGCUUUUGCCAGGAGGCAAUUUGCAAAGACCCUCUUGCUGGGUUCCAGUUAUACCUAUAGUCUCAAAGUUUCUCUUUUUCUCCUAUACUCCUCAGUAAACAUGUUCACUUUACUCUCUGUCCUCUCUAGUGCCCUCGGAACUUAAUUUUUUGGACACCCAAACUGAUCACUCUUUUAUUUCUGCUUUUGUUCAGUCAUAUCCCUCCCCGAGGCAAUGAACACAAAAUUGUGGAACUGAUGGAAUUGGGAAGGGAGUGGUGGUCAUUGGGGUACAGACUAGACUACUAGGAGAAAAAAUGAUUUCAAAUAAUAUUAUCCUGAUCUAAAAUCUAAAUGAUUUAAAAUCAUCAUCAUCACCAACACCAUCACCAUUAUCAUCAUCAUUAUUAUCAUCAACAUCAUCAAUAUUCUUUGUUACCUAAAUACUCCUCUUGACCUAUUAUGUCCACUUUGAGUUACUUCUCCAGUACUAAAAUUAAGCUUUUCUGCAGCUAAUUUUUAUUCCCUGGAGCUUCUGGGAUUCUGGGAUUUGGCACCAGGGGCAGUCUGUUGCCUGGAAGCUAGGCAGAGCACCCCAUAAAACUAUUGGAUAAAGCCAAAUUGUCCGUAUCCUCUCUCCCUUUAGUGUCAAGUACAGUCAUUACUCUGCAUAAAGAUGUUGUUUACUAAAUUCAUUUUUAAGGGGUACUAUGAUUUAAAUAUUUGUCCCCUCCAAAAUUCAUGUUGAAAUUUAUUUGUCAUUGUGACAAUAUUGGGAUAUGUGACAUUUAAGAGGUGUUUAAGUCAUGAUGGCUCCUUCUUCAUGAAUGAACUAAUGUUAUUAUUACAGGAGUGGGUUUGCUAUUGUUAUCACAGGAAUGAGUUUGCUCCUCCUUGAUCUCUUUCUCUUUUUUGGCCCUUGCACCAUGUGAUGCCUUCUGCCAUGUUAUUAUGCAGCAAGAAGGCCCUCACCAGAAACUGGCACCUUUAUAUUGGACUUUCCAGAACCAUGAGCCAAUACAUUUGUGUUCAUUAUAAAAUACCCAGUUUGUGGUAUUCUGUUAUAGCAGCAAAACAAACAAACAAACAAACAAACAAACAAACAAAACUAAGACAUCCUGAAAGAGCAGUGUGUGUACUUCUUGGCUUUUAUGAAAUUGCUAGUUAGAAGUCCAGAUAUUGCAAAUAUUUUCAAAUCUUAAUACUUCUGAUUGCAAAUUGUGUAUAUACACAUAGAAGUGUUCACAUAGGGAGGUGUGUCAAGAAGGGAUGCAAACAACAGAUAGAGAGAAAUGAAUCAAUUAGGAUAGUCUAGUAUAGGGGCCAAUGGAAAUAUUCAGUUUCAAAAAACCAAUAAGUACUCAAAUUAUGGGUAAGAGCGACAGAAAGAAACUGAUGCCUGGAGGGAUAAAAUUGGAAGCUUGGCUUUGUUUUCAGUAAGAGACAGAGGUUAGUAGGACAAGAGAGAAAGCAACAGCAAAUGUUAAUUCAAAGCUCAUUUCCCCUUCCUUGCCUUCCUCUCACCCUAGCUCCUUGUCCCAUGGUGAGAAAUAAUGAUCAUGUUCCACACUUGGAAGAAUGGGUAAUGGGAAGCAUGGUGAGAGGAAAUGACUUUUCUCAGCUAAUUGUCAGCAGUAGUUGAAGGACCCACAAGUGGUAUCUCUCUGGGUGCUCUCCCAUACAUGCUUCCAAAGCAGACUCUGGUUGGUUAACUCAGCUGGUCAAAACCCUGUGGUAAUAGAACCAAGGUAGUGGGUCCCUUCUAAUUUGGGUCUGGUGGCUUAACUCUGCUCCCCAGCUACAGAUGGAACCCAGGUCAUAAGCUUUAACCCUAUGUAUAGUCUCAGCCUGAGCCUAGCCUUAAUCCCAGAAAAAAACUCAAACCCUGGUCACAGGUAGAGCCCUAUUAUUGGCCAGAGGCUGAGGUCCUAAUCCUGAUCAUAGGCUGACCUCUAAUCCUUGUCAUAGUUUGAGCUCUUAAACCCAGCCAUAGGUUGAGCCCCUGACCUUGGCUAGCUACCUCAGUUAUAUGUAUUAUGAGACAUCAAAGGGAUCAGGAAAGAAGAUAAAGAUGUUGUAGUGUAUCUCCAUUAUUUCUACUAAGAAAAGGAACUUACUCUAUUAAUAGGACAUGGGUAACCUAUUUUCCUGUGAUAACAAAUGAUAUAUACAUGUUUUUAUUUACUAGAAGCCACAGGGAGAAGUUUGCUGGAGUGAGAGUAUGAGAACUGUUGCCUCUAACUUUGAGGAUAGAAUUUAGGAUAGAUGUGAUAAAGUCUCUUUGAAAAUAUAUCUGCCAUUUUAUUUCAUUUGUUAAAAAGACAGCAGUGGUGUUUGUUUUGCUCCACUCUCUCAUGUUUAAGAUACCAAGGGCAAUGCCAUGACAGCAAUUUAUGAAAAUGCACCUAGUAUUUAGAGCCCUUUUCUCUCCUGAAUCCUUUACCUCAUUGAUAAUGCCAAAGCAUCUAAAGCCUCCAACAUUUGAAUCAGUUUUUUGGGUUUUGACAUGGGUAGCUUCUAUUUUAUUGCAGAUCUUACUUGGGACAUUUCCCAUAUAUAGAUAAUGAUAAUUAAAAUACAGUUAGAAAAGGAGUCUGUUCUGAGUAACCAACAUAAACUUCUCAGCAUUCAAAUCAAUCCAAAAGUUGGUUGGUAAAGUGUACAAAAGUUUUAAAUACAAACUGGAAAAAUAACACUUAAAAUGGAGUAAAUCUUACUUGAGAGUUAAAAAAUAUUUAAUGCAAGUCUGAAAUUUUGCCUCAAAUGUCUAUACAAGUAUAGGGAGAAGUUGGUAGCUAACAUUAGUUACCCAAAAGGCAGUCGUAUCAAAAGCAGGGAAAGGUUGGGUGCCUCUCCACUUCCAGGCAGUAAUUGAUCCUAGGUAAUUGAUCAAAGUUUGCUAGAAGGUACAGUAUUUCACAUAUGCUGCCCAGAGACAAACUUCUGACCUGCUUGAAAUUUCUAGUUGAAAAAAUAUAUAUCCUUGCAAUUAUUUUCAAACCUUAACACUUCUGAUUAUAAGGUACUCCCAUCUAUUAGGGAAGCAUGAUAUCUGGAUUGCUGUAAAAGAUGGCGGUACUAUAGAAGGCUACUAUAUAUGUAACAAACCUGCAUAUUUUGUACAUGUACCCUAGAACUUAAAGUAGAAUAAAAAAAUUAAAAUUAAAGUUAAAAAAAUAUAUCUUCAAUCUCUCCCUCCUUUCUCAUCAGUUUUUAAUUAAUCUCAAGUUGCCUUCUUAAUAUAAAAUACAACAAAAAUAAUCCUUCAAUCCUAUAUUCUGUUUCUUAGCCAAAGUUUAUCAAAUAGGGUGAGCUUAGCAUCUAUACUUCCUCAGCUGCACUUAGUUUUUACUUUAAACUUUAUUGAGGUGUAAUUUACAUGCAAUAAAAUGCACACAUUUUAAGUGUACAUUUAAUGAGUUCUGAAGAAUUCGUAAACCUAUGUACCCAUCAUCACAAUCAUGCUAUAGAACACUUUCAUCACCCCAAAAGUCAAUUGCCUCUUCCUAGUUAAUUUUCUACCUCUCAGCCCCAGAAAAACUCUAAUAUUCUUUUUGUUGCUAUAAAUUAAUUUGUUUUGGAGAGGGGCAGGUUCAUAUCAAUCGAGUAUAAUGUGUACUUUAAAAUUUUUAAUUUAUUUUCUUUUCAGAUAAUUUGUUUUUCUUCCUCUUGAUUGAGGUAUAAUUGACACAUAAAAAUUACAUAAAUUUAAGUGCAACAUGAUGAUUCAGUAUGCAUAUGCAUUGUGCUCAGAAUUACCUUUUUUCAUGGUGAGAGUACUUAAGAUCUACUGUCUUAGCGAAGUUAAAUGUAGUCACCAUACAUUACAUUAGAUCUUCAGAACUUAUUUGUCUUAUAACUGAAAGUUUGUACCCAUUGACUAACAUCUCCCUGUUCCCUCCCCUCACUCCUGCCCCCAGCCUUUGGCAACAACCAUUCUACUCUCUGCUUCUGUGAGUUCAACUUUUUUAGACAUAUUAG